Molecule: ribosomal RNA, 227 nt
Filed under: uncultured bacterium
Lineage: Bacteria
Description: partial 16S ribosomal RNA
Rfam family: Bacterial small subunit ribosomal RNA
Source: RNAcentral
UCUUAAAGCUGUUCUCAGUUCGGACUGCAGUCUGCAACUCGACUGCACGAAGCUGGAAUCGCUAGUAAUCGCGGAUCAGCAUGCCGCGGUGAAAUACGUUCCCGGGCCUUGUACACACCGCCGUCACACCAUGAGAGUCGGGAACACCCGAAGUCCGUAGCCUAACCGCAAGGAGGGCGCGGCCGAAGGUGGGUUCGAUAAUUGGGGUGAAGUCGUAACAAGGUAAC